RNAcentral lists this small RNA (118 nucleotides) under Marmota monax (woodchuck). The record is from RNAcentral. Lineage: Eukaryota; Metazoa; Chordata; Mammalia; Rodentia; Sciuridae.
GCCAGAUGUGGUGGUACAUACCUGUAGUCCCAGCUAUUCAGGAGGCUGAGGCAGGAAGAUUGCUUUGGGUCCAGGAAUUUGAGGUCCUCCUGGGCAACAUAGCAAGACCCUGUCUCAA